AUUGAACGCUGGCGGCAUGCUUUACACAUGCAAGUCGAACGGUAACGGGCCGCAAGGUGCUGACGAGUGGCGAACGGGUGAGUAAUGCAUCGGAACGUGCCCAGUCGUGGGGGAUAACUACUCGAAAGAGUAGCUAAUACCGCAUACGAUCUAUGGAUGAAAGCGGGGGACCGUAAGGCCUCGCGCGAUUGGAGCGGCCGAUGUCAGAUUAGGUAGUUGGUGGGGUAAAGGCUCCCCAAGCCAACGAUCUGUAGCUGGUCUGAGAGGACGACCAGCCACACUGGGCCUGAGACCCGGCCCAGACCCCUCCGGGAGGCAGCAGUGGGGAAUUUUGGACAAUGGGCGCAAGCCUGAUCCAGCAAUGCCGCGUGCAGGAAGAAGGCCUUCGGGUUGUAAACUGCUUUUGUACGGAACGAAACGGCUCUGGUUAAUACCCGGGGCUAAUGCCGGUACCGUAAGAAUAAGCACCGGCUAACUCCGU
This 481-nucleotide ribosomal RNA is filed under the name uncultured bacterium. RNAcentral's name for it is "partial 16S ribosomal RNA". It matches the Rfam family "Bacterial small subunit ribosomal RNA", at positions 30 to 506 of the family's 1533-position model. The record is from RNAcentral.